AAAGCAUCAACGUUUGGCAAUCUCAAAAAAACCGCAAACGCAGCUUUUCAAAUUUAUGUAAAUUGAGAUAAAAAUUUUAGGAUGAUUUUGUGUUUAAUCUCUUUCCCACUGUUAUAAAAAAUGUCCAAACAGCAAAAAAGCUUUCUAGGUGAUAUUUGAGAUGAAAAAUACCAUUCGCUUUUUCGUAGCUCAUUUUCAAAACCAAAAAAAAAAACAGUUACCUACGUAAUUGGUAAAAAUAAAAAAAAAUCCAACACGUAAAUUAGGUAAGUUCGAAGUACAUCCAUAACGAGUAAUGAAAUGUAUAAAACAGGCGGGCUUCAUUAAACGAAAUAAAAAAAAUCAUCAAUAUUACGCUUCAUAGUCUCUGAAAAUUCAACAAAUAGCUGAUUAUCCUUCCGUCGAUUAACAGUUCAAAUAAUUAUCAGUUAAAUGAUAAUACAUAUUCUCUAUUUAGGCUACCUUUACCUACCAAAAAAAACCCCAACCAGAAAUAACACCAUUUGAUAAAUUGAAUUUGCAUUCAUUCGCGGAAAAGAAAAAGGACAAACAAGAUGGAUUUAUCAUCAAUUUGCAAGUUGAUUAUCCAAUUACUACAUGUAUACGUUUUGGGAUUUACUUGUUAAUCUUCGAUUGAUUUUAAGGCGUAAUUUUUUCUAAUUAUAAAUAUGAAAAUAUUAACGAAAAAUUGCACACACAGAUUAAUCGUUGUCCAAUUCGAAUAGAGUGAAGUUGUCAGUUGUAUAACGUGGAAAUUUUUAUUGUUUCAACCGUACCUACCUAUCUACCUACUUGUGAAGUUCUUUCAUCUUACAAUGAAACUAGUCAUCUUAGCAUUGGUUUGUAUCGCGGUGUCAUUGGCUUCAGCCCGCCCCCACAACUGUAACCACCAUCAGGCCAAAUCCACAACACCACCCACUUCAACGGAGAUCGCCACAGAACCUUCAACCGUUUUCGCGUCUGUACAAGAACCCGAAGGAGCAACAGGUGAUGAUGAACAUCCUGCUAUUGACGAACGUAUUGGACAUGACCAGACAACCAAAACACCCCAAAAAUUCCUUCCGUAUUGAAGUUAUUUGAACUGAGAUACCAGUAAAAUCAAGGAAGCGUGAAUCAGGUUUAGUCUAGGUGCUCAGAAUAGGCAAUAAAACAACCAGCUGAUUGAAGAAUUUUUUGUACGAUGAUUUUUCAAGUGAUUGUACCAUUGUAGGUUUAAUAGUUACUCGAUAUAGCUAUAUUUUUUAAUUAGUCCCAUUUGUAAUAAUUUCAGUUACUUAAUAAAUAAGUAUCAUGUCUAAUUCAUUA
Molecule: long non-coding RNA, 1305 nt
Organism: Planococcus citri (citrus mealybug)
Lineage: Eukaryota; Metazoa; Arthropoda; Insecta; Hemiptera; Pseudococcidae
Exons: 2
Source: RefSeq, a predicted model, not a curated record